Molecule: small RNA, 125 nt
Filed under: Marmota monax (woodchuck)
Lineage: Eukaryota; Metazoa; Chordata; Mammalia; Rodentia; Sciuridae
Source: RNAcentral
GCCGGGUGUGGUGGCGCACACCUGUAAUUCCAGUGGCUUGGGAGGCUGAGGCAGGAGGAUUGCGAGUUCAAAGCCAGCCUCAGCAAAAGUGAGGUGUUAAUAAACUCAAUGAGAUCCUGUCUCUA